This 658-nucleotide long non-coding RNA is filed under the name Olea europaea subsp. europaea. The record is from RNAcentral. Lineage: Eukaryota; Viridiplantae; Streptophyta; Magnoliopsida; Lamiales; Oleaceae.
CUUUCCUUUCCAUUUGUCCAACAAAUUCGGCCCUUUCCGUUAUUCCCGACCAUAUACGUGUGGGAUUUCUUCCAUGGAAAUUCUCUUUUCAUUCAGUGGUGAAUUCAGAUUUCUUCACAUUAUCUUAAUGUUCUGAAACAUGCGAGACUCUUCUGAUAUGUCAAACGAAGGUAAAUAAGAAGUAUAUUUAUGUGCACAGUGUGUGUGAGUUAGACUCUUUUACUUUUCUUAUUUUAAUUUUGUUUGUGCAAAGAAUUUAAAGCUUCAAUGUCUUGUUGAUGGGACUUAUAUGUGCCCAAACAAUUCGUAACCAUGAAGCAAAAGAGAUCAAUCUCAACUAUCCUAUUUUUGGCUUCACUGUAGUCAAAUUUAUUCAUGCGGGGUUGCUUUGGAUGGCUGAGAAUAUUAUUUAAUUAUUAGGUUUUAAAAGCUAUAUUUUUAAACUGAUUUUCGUGGAUUUCUCAAAUUAAUUUUGAGUAAUUUUUAGUAGGUGAUAUGUUGUCUAACUCCCAAAGCGGCGAAGCUUUAUUAGAUCAAGAAAUCUGCUCCUUGUCCCAGCUUAAGGACAGGCGCCCCCCGAAGCUUUAUUAGAUCAAGGAAUCUGCUUCCUGUCCCGGCUUGGGGGACAGGCGCCCCCUAUUGGAGGGGCGUUUGUCAG